CAGCCGCCGCGGGAAUACAGAGGGUGCGAGCGUUAAUCGGAAUUACUGGGCGUAAAGCGAGUGUAGGUGGCUCAUUAAGUCACAUGUGAAAUCCCCGGGCUUAACCUGGGAACUGCAUGUGAUACUGGUGGUGCUAGAAUAUGUGAGAGGGAAGUAGAAUUCCAGGUGUAGCAGUGAAAUGCGUAGAGAUCUGGAGGAAUACCGAUGGCGAAGGCAGCUUCCUGGCAUAAUAUUGACACUGAGAUUCGAAAGCGUGGGUAGCAAACAGGAUUAGAUACCCCGGUAGUCCCUGUCUCUUAUU
This 301-nucleotide ribosomal RNA is filed under the name uncultured bacterium. RNAcentral's name for it is "partial 16S ribosomal RNA". It matches the Rfam family "Bacterial small subunit ribosomal RNA", at positions 509 to 808 of the family's 1533-position model. The record is from RNAcentral.